CUGUCGUCAAAAGCAGACGGCGCUGCAGC
RNAcentral lists this small RNA (29 nucleotides) under Bombyx mori (domestic silkworm). RNAcentral describes it as "ovarian small RNA-4981". The record is from RNAcentral. Lineage: Eukaryota; Metazoa; Arthropoda; Insecta; Lepidoptera; Bombycidae.